Molecule: ribosomal RNA, 497 nt
Filed under: uncultured bacterium
Lineage: Bacteria
Description: partial 16S ribosomal RNA
Rfam family: Bacterial small subunit ribosomal RNA
Source: RNAcentral
GACGAACGCUGGCGGCGUGCCUAAUACAUGCAAGUCGAGCGGACAGACGGGAGCUUGCUCCCUGAUGUUAGCGGCGGACGGGUGAGUAACACGUGGGUAACCUGCCUGUAAGACUGGGAUAACUCCGGGAAACCGGGGCUAAUACCGGAUUGUUGUCUGAACCGCAUGGUACAGACAUAAAAGGUGGCUUCGGCUACCACUUACAGAUGGACCCGCGGCGCAUUAGCUAGUUGGUGAGGUAACGGCUCACCAAGGCAACGAUGCGUAGCCGACCUGAGAGGGUGAGCGGCCACACUGGGACUGAGACACGGCCCAGACUCCUACGGGAGGCAGCAGUAGGGAAUCUUCCGCAAUGGACGAAAGUCUGACGGAGCAACGCCGCGUGAGUGAUGAAGGUUUUCGGAUCGUAAAGCUCUGUUGUUAGGGAAGAACAAGUGCCGUUCAAAUAGGGCGGCACCUUGACGGUACCUAACCAGAAAGCCACGGCUAACUACGUG